Molecule: ribosomal RNA, 232 nt
Filed under: uncultured bacterium
Lineage: Bacteria
Description: partial 16S ribosomal RNA
Rfam family: Bacterial small subunit ribosomal RNA
Source: RNAcentral
CGGGACGGGUGAGUAAUGUCUGGGAAACUGCCUGAUGGAGGGGGGUAACUACUGGAAACGGUAGCUAAUACCGCAUAACGUCGCAAGACCAAAGAGGGGGACCUUAGGGCCUCUUGCCAUCGGAUGUGCCCAGAUGGGAUUAGCUAGUAGGUGGGUAACGGCUCACCUAGGCGACGAUCCCUAGCUGGUCUGAGAGGAUGACCAGCCACACUGGAACUGAGACACGGUCCAG